Molecule: ribosomal RNA, 399 nt
Filed under: uncultured bacterium
Lineage: Bacteria
Description: bacterial SSU rRNA
Rfam family: Bacterial small subunit ribosomal RNA
Source: RNAcentral
AUUGAACGCUGGCGGCAUGCCUUACACAUGCAAGUCGAACGGCAGCACGGGAGCAAUCCUGGUGGCGAGUGGCGAACGGGUGAGUAAUAUAUCGGAACGUGCCCGGUCGUGGGGAUAACGUAGCGAAAGCUACGCUAAUACCGCAUACGAUCUACGGAUGAAAGCGGGGGAUCGCAAGACCUCGCGCGAUUGGAGCGGCCGAUAUCAGAUUAGGUAGUUGGUGAGGUAAAGGCUCACCAAGCCGACGAUCUGUAGCUGGUCUGAGAGGACGACCAGCCACACUGGGACUGAGACACGGCCCAGACUCCUACGGGAGGCAGCAGUGGGGGAAUUUUGGACAAAUGGGCGCAAGCCUGAUCCAGCAAUGCCGCGUGCAGGAUGAAGGCCUCGGUUGUAACU